GGUGAGAGCAGGGAGCAGUUACGCCACGCGAACGGUCUUGAAAACCGUCGUGGCAGCGAUGUCACCGUGGGUUCAAAUCCCACACCCA
RNAcentral lists this transfer RNA (88 nucleotides) under Streptomyces sp. H27-H5. Its description in RNAcentral is "tRNA-OTHER". The record is from RNAcentral. Lineage: Bacteria; Bacillati; Actinomycetota; Actinomycetes; Kitasatosporales; Streptomycetaceae.